CUCCUACGGGAGGCAGCAGUGGGGAAUAUUGCACAAUGGAGGAAACUCUGAUGCAGCGACGCCGCGUGAGUGAUGAAGGCUUUCGAGUCGUAAAAUUCUGUCCUUGGGGAAGAUAAUGACGGUACCCAAGGAGGAAGCCCCGGCUAACUACGUGCCAGCAGCCGCGGUAAUA
This 172-nucleotide ribosomal RNA is filed under the name uncultured bacterium. Its description in RNAcentral is "partial 16S ribosomal RNA". It matches the Rfam family "Bacterial small subunit ribosomal RNA", at positions 336 to 525 of the family's 1533-position model. The record is from RNAcentral.